UACGUAGGUGGCAAGCGUUGUCCGGAAUUACUGGUGUAAAGGGAGCGCAGGCGGGAAGCCAAGUCAGCUGUGAAAACUACGGGCUUAACUUGUAGACUGCAGUUGAAACUGGUUUUCUUGAGUGAAGUAGAGGUUGGCGGAAUUCCGAGUGUAGCGGUGAAAUGCGUAGAUAUUAGAAGGAACACCAGUGGCGAAGGCGGCUUACUGGACAGUAACUGACGUCGAGGCUCGAAAGCGUGGGGAGCAAACAGG
This 252-nucleotide ribosomal RNA is filed under the name uncultured bacterium. RNAcentral's name for it is "partial 16S ribosomal RNA". It matches the Rfam family "Bacterial small subunit ribosomal RNA", at positions 524 to 776 of the family's 1533-position model. The record is from RNAcentral.